Long non-coding RNA from Bombus huntii, 1850 nucleotides. RefSeq lists it as uncharacterized. The transcript has 2 exons. The record is from RefSeq and is a predicted model, not a curated record. NCBI's taxonomy places the organism in Eukaryota, Metazoa, Arthropoda, Insecta, Hymenoptera, Apidae.
CAUAUGUUAAGCUUCUUCGUAGUUACAACUUUUACCGCAGAUGUAACGAACUGACAAAUGCUUCGAAUGGCGCGCGCGCGUCAACGCCUACACUUAAAUUUUAAAUAAAUAUUUUUAAAUAAAUGUUUAAAAUAAUACAUUAAAUGUAUUAACUUUCUUGCGCAAUUUCAUUUAAUUUCUUACGAUAUGGAGGGUUUAAUUACGUUUAAGAUAUCUAUUUGAAUCUUUUAAAUUCGAAGUUUUUUAAAAAAUUACCUUAAACUUUAUAAAAUUAAAUCGUUUUUCCACUUUGUUGUAUCAUAAAAUAGUUACUUAAAUUCAAACCUUACCGUCGUUUUGAAAUAUUCUAUAUUUUCCUCGUCUUAAAAAAUCUCCCUACAGAAAGAAUAAAGAAGAAUAAAAUCCCAUACGUUAAAUUUCACGUGAUUGAUGGAAUACAUAACGAUAACGAGAACUAACUAGCGACAACAAGCAACCAUUAGCAAGGACAACUGGCGACUAUAACUGUCGUCUCUAUGAUGUAUGGCGACUAAGGAGAACAGCCAGCAACUACGGAUGACAUGUAACAACCAACUGCCCCACUUCUAAAAGGCAACUAACUUGCAAACCCUUUAAUGGUUUCUGUAGCGUGAUAUACCCCUUGAACGUGGUUAAAGAAUGUGGUCGCCGCUGGACGGCGGUUUGACAGCAGAGCGAUCUCGCCAAUUCAAAGCUUGACAUUACAAACUACCGAGAAUCAUUAGGCUCGUUAUCGAGCAUCUAGCUUUCAGAAGGUGCUUUAUCAUAUGAUAUGACUUCACGAUAUUUUUAUAGCAAGAAGAAUGGCCAACCUCUAACAAAACAAAUUUUUACUAAGUGCUGCAUGUGAGCUGCAGGCCGGCCUACUAGGGAAAUUUGACGAAUGAGUAAACUAAAAUAUAUACGAAUAUAUUCGUUAUAUCAUAAAAUGCCCGCAUUAUGUUCUCUAACACCAUAGAGGAAACUAAAUUUAUAUAUUAAAAAAUUGGAAUACCUGUUAUAAGAGAGUUAAUUAAAUUCUAACCUAUCGAUGACUCCAUAAAAACCUUUAUUUCCUAAAAAUAUAUAUCUUCCAAAUUCUCCUUAGAAAGUAUCAUAGAGAAAAUAUGAAACCUGAAAAGUACAUCACGCUGAUGCCUCGAUCAACCCUCGUGCUUCGCAGUCCAUGUGUCCGAGCGAUGAAUUCCCUCCAAACAAGGAAAAACCAAAGAGAGGUCUUUUUCGAAGGACGUGAGAGGGUAAGGGAAGCAACGGGAACGAUGAUCACGCGAUAUACUGGCGGCGUACGUAUAGAACGGCUGUUGCGAGAGAGUUCGCAAGAAACAAGAAGAAAAAAGGAAUCGUAGGCCGACGCGACUAUACGCUGUCGACGGACAAACAGCGACUGAGCCUAACUGAAACGAACUCUGUCGCAGUAUGAGCACAGGCUACGUUCGCGGGUCGAUCGAACACGUUCUGCGCCUUUCCUCGGCACCAGCGUCAAAACCACCCUCGACGAGCGCAACGCACUGGUGCACCUGCAAUAUUAACCACUGGUCUUUCCUUUUUCGCGCGAUAUUAUAUCAGCACCUAUGAUACCAUUUCAAAGACCGCAAUCAAAACAUUAAAUACCGCAUUAAAGCCAUACAAUAAUUCGCAAUAUUCAUUCGUAAACGUUAUUGUAUAUGUGCUUAAUUAAUCGUUAUUAUGUUUCGAAUGAUUUACUACCUCAUAUUCCAUAAGCAGAUAUAUGGUUCAUUUUCAUCUCAAGUACGAUAUAAUUUGUAACAAAUAUUUAUAAUUCACAAUGUAAAAUAUUUAUAAUUCAUUGGAAAUAUUAUUCUAUCACGGUA